RNAcentral lists this ribosomal RNA (99 nucleotides) under uncultured bacterium. RNAcentral describes it as "partial 16S ribosomal RNA". The record is from RNAcentral.
CCGCGUGAGUUGAUGAAGGCCCUAGGGUUGGUAAAGCUCUUUUGUGCGGGAAGAUAAUGACGGUACCGCAAGAACUAAGCCCCGGCUAACUUACGUCGC